UUGCGUAUUAUCUCUAAGUUCUUUCGGUCCGUUCUUAUGAUCCCCGACUUUGUGUAUUAGCUCAAAGUUCUUUCGGUUCGUUUUUAUGAUCCCCGACUUUGCGUAUUAGCUCUAAGUUCUUUCAGUCCGUUUUUAUGAUCCCCGAUUUUGCGUAUUAUCUCUAAGUUCUUUUGGUCCGUUCUUAUGAUCCCCGACUUUGUGUAUUAGCUCUAAGUUCUUUCGGUCCGUUUUUAUGAUUCCCGACUUUGCGUAUUAGCUCUAAGUUCUUUCGGUCCGUUUUUAUGAUCCCCGAUUUUGCGUAUUAGCUCUAAGUUCUUUUGGUCCGUUUUUAUGAUCCCGGAAUUUGGGUAUAAGCUCAAAAUUCUUUCAUUCGGUUUUUAUGAUCCCCGACUUUGCGUAUUA
RNAcentral lists this long non-coding RNA (402 nucleotides) under Capsella rubella. Its description in RNAcentral is "long non-coding RNA (CRUB_LNC000152)". Lineage: Eukaryota; Viridiplantae; Streptophyta; Magnoliopsida; Brassicales; Brassicaceae. The record is from RNAcentral.